AAUUGCCCCCAGGGCUCGCGGCGGAGGCGGCGCAAGGAGGGGCGGCGGCCGCGGGGGGCGGAGCCUGAGCCCGAGGAGGCGGAGCUGAGCCGGCGCCUGCAGGCCCUGGCGGCCGCCGAGGAGGAGGAGGAGGAGGAGGAAGCUCCAGCGGCGCGCAGAGGAGCGAGGAGGAGGAAGGGUGGGAACGUUUUCGCUGCGCUGAGCCGGGAGCAGAGCGAGGAUGAGGAGGAGGAGGAGGAGGAAGAGGAGGAAGAAAAACCAACCAAGGGCAAGAGCAGCAAGGUGGGGCAGCGAGGGGAAAUCCCGGAAUUCGGGGAAAUCCCGGAAUUGGGGGGAAAUCCCGGAAUUCGGGGGAAUCCCAGAAUUUGGGGGAAAUCCCGGAACUCGGGGGAAAUCCCAGAAUUGGGGGAAAAUCCCAAAAUUCUGGG
RNAcentral lists this long non-coding RNA (428 nucleotides) under Lonchura striata (white-rumped munia). RNAcentral's name for it is "domestica (Bengalese finch) lncRNA (ENSLSDG00000006955.1)". The record is from RNAcentral. Lineage: Eukaryota; Metazoa; Chordata; Aves; Passeriformes; Estrildidae.